AUAAUAAAUUUAUAUGGUUUAAAAAAUUUAUUUUAAAUUUAUUUUACAUAUAAAUUUUAGUGUUAAAUUUAAUUUAUUUUAAUAAUAAAUUUAUUUAUUUGUAGUAAUUAAUAUUAAAUUAUUUAAGAAAUUAAGAUUUAGUAAUAUUUAAAUUAAUAACAAAUUUUGUGCCAGCAGUUGCGGUUAAACAAAAGUUAAAUUAAAUUUUGUUAGUGAAUUAAUAAAUAAAUUAAAUAAAUUAAUUAAAAUUUUAAAUUAUUAAGUGAAAUUUUAAUUUAAUAAAAUGUUAAAUUUAAAUUAUGAAUUUAAUAAAUUUUUUUAAAGACUAGGAUUAGAUACCCUAUUAUGAGAUUUUUAAAUUUAAAUACUAAAAUAGUAAAUAAUUAUUUAUUGAAACUUAAAUAAUUUGGCGGUAUUUUAGUUCAUUUAGAGGAAUCUGUUUAAUAAUUGAUAAUCCACGAAUAAAUUUACUUAAUUUUUAAUUUUGUAUAUCGUUGUUAAAAAAAUAUUUUUAUUAAAUAAUAAUAUUUAAAAAUUAAAAUAGAAAUUAAAUCAGAUCAAGAUGCAGAUUAUAAUUAAGAAUAUAAUGGAUUACAAUAAAUUUAUUUAAAUGAAUGUUAAUUUGAAAUAAUUAAUUGAAAGUGGAUUUAAAUGUAAUUUUAUUUAAUUUAAUAAAAUGAUUAAAAAUUGAAAUAUGUACAUAUUGCCCGUCGCUUUCAUAUAAUUAAUAAAAAAAAAUAAUAAGUAUUAAUAAGUUGAAAUAAGUCGUAACAAAGUAGAGGUACUGGAAAGUGUUUCUAGAAAGAA
RNAcentral lists this non-coding RNA (807 nucleotides) under Hydrillodes lentalis. The record is from RNAcentral. Lineage: Eukaryota; Metazoa; Arthropoda; Insecta; Lepidoptera; Erebidae.